GGGGCUAAUACCGCAUACGGUCUACGGACCAAAGCCUUCGGGCGCUUUCGGAGGGGCCUGCGGCGGAUUAGCUAGUUGGUGGGGUAACGGCCUACCAAGGCGACGAUCCGUAGCUGGUCUGAGAGGAUGAUCAGCCACACUGGGACUGAGACACGGCCCAGACUCCUACGGGAGGCAGCAGCGAGGAAUUUUCCGCAAUGGGCGAAAGCCUGACGGAGCAACGCCGCGUGGGGGAAGAAGGCCUUCGGGUUGUAAACCCCUGUUGCGAGGGAAGAAGAUCUGACAGUACCUCGCGAGGAAGCCACGGCUAACUACGUGCCAGCAGCCGCGGUAAUACGUAGGUGGCAAGCGUUGUCCGGAUUUACUGGGCGUAAAGCGCGCGCAGGCGGGCUGGUCAGUCUGGGGUGAAAUCUCACGGCUCAACCGUGAGAGGUCCCUGGAUACUGCCAGCCUUGAGGGGCUCAGAGGAGAGUGGAAUUCCGGGUGUAGUGGUGGAAUGCGUAGAUAUCCGGAGGAACACCAGUGGCGAAAGCGGCUCUCUGGGGGCAACCUGACGCUGAGGCGCGAAAGCGUGGGGAGCGAACCGGAUUAGAUACCCGGGUAGUCCACGCCGUAAACGAUGAGUACUAGUUGUCGGGGGUAUCGACCCCCUCGGUAACGAAGCUAACGCGAUAAGUACUCCGCCUGGGGACUACGACCGCAAGGUUAAAACUUAAAGGAAUUGACGG
This 728-nucleotide ribosomal RNA is filed under the name uncultured bacterium. RNAcentral describes it as "bacterial SSU rRNA". It matches the Rfam family "Bacterial small subunit ribosomal RNA", at positions 159 to 916 of the family's 1533-position model. The record is from RNAcentral.